This 274-nucleotide ribosomal RNA is filed under the name uncultured bacterium. RNAcentral's name for it is "partial 16S ribosomal RNA". It matches the Rfam family "Bacterial small subunit ribosomal RNA", at positions 523 to 796 of the family's 1533-position model. The record is from RNAcentral.
AUACGUAGGGUGCGAGCGUUAAUCGGAAUUACUGGGCGUAAAGCGUGCGCAGGCGGUUUUGUAAGUCAGAUGUGAAAUCCCCGGGCUUAACCUGGGAACUGCGUUUGAAACUGCAAGGCUAGAGUGUGGCAGAGGGGGGUGGAAUUCCGCGUGUAGCAGUGAAAUGCGUAGAGAUGUGGAGGAACACCGAUGGCGAAGGCAGCCCCCUGGGUCAACACUGACGCUCAGGCACGAAAGCAUGGGGAGCAAACAGGAUUAGAAACCCCGGUAGUCC